This 71-nucleotide transfer RNA is filed under the name Butyriboletus roseoflavus. RNAcentral's name for it is "tRNA-Ile". It matches the Rfam family "tRNA". From Rfam's summary of the family: Transfer RNA (tRNA) molecules are approximately 80 nucleotides in length. Their secondary structure includes four short double-helical elements and three loops (D, anti-codon, and T loops). RNAcentral also lists the same sequence under 2 other names. Lineage: Eukaryota; Fungi; Basidiomycota; Agaricomycetes; Boletales; Boletaceae. The record is from RNAcentral.
AAGCCUAUAAUUUAAGGGUAGAAUGUUAUCUUGAUGAGAUAAUCGUAGAAGUUCAAAUCUUCUUGGGCUUA